RNAcentral lists this ribosomal RNA (230 nucleotides) under uncultured bacterium. RNAcentral's name for it is "partial 16S ribosomal RNA". It matches the Rfam family "Bacterial small subunit ribosomal RNA", at positions 567 to 791 of the family's 1533-position model. The record is from RNAcentral.
AGACGUGCGCAGGCGGUUAUGUAAGACAGAUGUGAAAUCCCCGGGCCUCAACCUGGGAACUGCAUUAGUGACUGCAUAGCUGGAGUACGGCAGAGGGGGAUGGAAUUCCGCGUGUAGCAGUGAAAUGCGUAGAUAUGCGGAGGAACACCGAUGGCGAAGGCAAUCCCCUGGGCCUGUACUGACGCUCAUGCACGAAAGCGUGGGGAGCAAACAGGAUUAGAUACCCUUGU